RNAcentral lists this small RNA (296 nucleotides) under Microlunatus kandeliicorticis. RNAcentral's name for it is "5' ureB small RNA". It matches the Rfam family "5' ureB small RNA". The record is from Rfam by way of RNAcentral. Lineage: Bacteria; Bacillati; Actinomycetota; Actinomycetes; Propionibacteriales; Propionibacteriaceae.
GCCUCGUGCAGCUGCGAGGGCGACAGCAGGUGCACGUGGGUGUCGAACCCGCCGGCGGUGAGGAUCCGGCCCUCGCCGGAGAUCACGUCCGUGCCCGGCCCGAUGACCAGCGCCGGGUCGACGCCGUCGGCGAUGUCGGGAUUGCCGCUGCGGCCGAUCCCGACGAUCCGGCCGGCCCGGAUGCCGACGUCGGCGCGGACGAUCCCCCAGUGGUCGAGGAUGAUCACGUUGGUGAUGACGGUGUCGAGCGCGCCCUCGGCCGAGAGCACGCCGGACUGGUUCAUCGACUCGCGGAU